AUACUUUUAGUUUAAUGGAAAAACGAUAGUCUUCGAAACUAUGAAUAUGGGUUCAAUUCCUAUAGAGUAUU
Molecule: transfer RNA, 71 nt
Filed under: Pneumocystis sp. 'macacae'
Lineage: Eukaryota; Fungi; Ascomycota; Pneumocystomycetes; Pneumocystales; Pneumocystaceae
Description: tRNA-Arg
Rfam family: tRNA
About the family: Transfer RNA (tRNA) molecules are approximately 80 nucleotides in length. Their secondary structure includes four short double-helical elements and three loops (D, anti-codon, and T loops). Further hydrogen bonds mediate the characteristic L-shaped molecular structure. tRNAs have two regions of fundamental functional importance: the anti-codon, which is responsible for specific mRNA codon recognition, and the 3' end, to which the tRNAs corresponding amino acid is attached (by aminoacyl-tRNA synthetases). tRNAs cope with the degeneracy of the genetic code in two manners: having more than one tRNA (with a specific anti-codon) for a particular amino acid; and 'wobble' base-pairing, i.e. permitting non-standard base-pairing at the 3rd anti-codon position.
Source: RNAcentral